This 119-nucleotide ribosomal RNA is filed under the name Pteropus alecto (black flying fox). The record is from RNAcentral. RNAcentral also lists the same sequence under 1 other name. Lineage: Eukaryota; Metazoa; Chordata; Mammalia; Chiroptera; Pteropodidae.
AUCUACAGCCAUGCCACCCUGAAUAUGCCCAAUCUUGUCUGAUCUCAGAAGCUAAGCAGGGUCGGGCCUGGUUAGUAGUUAGAUAGGAGACCACCUUGGAAUACCAAGUGCUGUAGGCA